RNAcentral lists this non-coding RNA (168 nucleotides) under chicken gut metagenome. Its description in RNAcentral is "malK-I RNA". It matches the Rfam family "malK-I RNA". The record is from RNAcentral.
UGACCGCACUCCACUCCUUGUGGUCAGCUUCUGAAAUUAAAGGAGGAAAUUCCGCGUUACCUGCGGUGCGGCAGUGUGGAGACCUGUCGUAAAGCAGUCCGAUGGAUUAUAUCGGCUGCGAGACUGCUGCUUGCGGAGGCACAGCAGUUAAGGUAAGUACUUAUGGCA